CUUUUGACCUCGGAUCAGGUAGGGAUACCCGCUGAACUUAAGCAUAU
This 47-nucleotide ribosomal RNA is filed under the name Alternaria sp. RNAcentral's name for it is "partial 28S ribosomal RNA". The record is from RNAcentral. Lineage: Eukaryota; Fungi; Ascomycota; Dothideomycetes; Pleosporales; Pleosporaceae.